Long non-coding RNA from Stylophora pistillata, 293 nucleotides. The record is from RefSeq and is a predicted model, not a curated record. NCBI's taxonomy places the organism in Eukaryota, Metazoa, Cnidaria, Anthozoa, Scleractinia, Pocilloporidae.
UUGGACGUGUGUUGGGGUAUUUGUAUCUGUCUACGGCAAUCGUGCAUUCUUGUUUCAAAGUUACCGAUUGAACAAAAUGGCAGAUAAUAUUCGCGGAAAUGUUAACAGCGCUAACAAUUGUUCUGGACUGGAGCCAGGGAGGACUCGAAAUGAGGAAAGUAUUCGAGAUGCAAAUUAGUACAUGCCUGACAAGCGAUGGAACCCGUGUAUAAUACGCACCGCAAGUUUGAUGGUUAUUUUUGUAGAAGAGAAGUGGGUAUUAUACACGGGUAAAUACGAUACUUGAGGUAAGG